Molecule: transfer RNA, 73 nt
Filed under: Rhodocyclaceae bacterium
Lineage: Bacteria; Pseudomonadati; Pseudomonadota; Betaproteobacteria; Rhodocyclales; Rhodocyclaceae
Description: tRNA-Pro
Rfam family: tRNA
About the family: Transfer RNA (tRNA) molecules are approximately 80 nucleotides in length. Their secondary structure includes four short double-helical elements and three loops (D, anti-codon, and T loops).
Source: RNAcentral
CUUGGCGUAGCGCAGUGGACAGCGUACUCGGUCUGGACCCGAGUGGUCGGGGGUUCGAAUCCCUCCGCCGAGA